UAAUUAAAAGUUGCACUCUCCAGGCUCCGUCGAAUCUGUGAGCUCGUCCAACCUGUAAGUACAAACCCUAUCUUCCCCUUGUAAAUUCAUUGAAUGAUAUUAGGUUGUUUUGUUAAAGGGGUUCAUGACAAGAUCAAAUAAAGGUGUACUUUUGCUGGAAAUCAACACAAAAAGACACAGAUCACCAACUUCCAAAUGAUUGUCACGCACAACGUCCAUCCAACCACGCCUGAAUCUGGG
RNAcentral lists this long non-coding RNA (240 nucleotides) under Prunus persica (peach). RNAcentral describes it as "long non-coding RNA (PPER_LNC000650)". The record is from RNAcentral. Lineage: Eukaryota; Viridiplantae; Streptophyta; Magnoliopsida; Rosales; Rosaceae.